This is a long non-coding RNA of Eurytemora carolleeae, 1100 nucleotides long. RefSeq lists it as uncharacterized. The transcript has 3 exons. NCBI's taxonomy places the organism in Eukaryota, Metazoa, Arthropoda, Copepoda, Calanoida, Temoridae. The record is from RefSeq and is a predicted model, not a curated record.
ACACAACAAUUCAAAGAGAUUUGUAGAAACAAAUGAAAAUUUUGAAUAAGAUACUAAAGAUAUUUUCAGAAUAUAGAGAUACUACUGGAUUGGACUAUACCUCCUGAGUACAUGGACUUUUUUAGAAAAGAGAAGAAAAGUGUCGAGGAAAUCCUUCAAGAGCUGGCAGGAUAAUGUUUAGGAAAUCCGACAUAACUGAGAAUAUGACAUUGUAAUCUUAUAAAGGCUUCAGUUUGAUAAUAUUUUGGGAAAUCCUCAAAAAAUGACAAGAUGCUACUAAAAAUCCUUCAAAGGCUGACAAGAUAAUCCUUGAGAUGCUUGCAGAAUAAAAUGUUUAAAGUCCUUCGUAAAUUGACAAUAUAACACACAAUUUUUAGAAAAUCUCCUAAAACUGACAAAAUAAUUCAAAAUCAUCCAAAGGCUGGCAGAAAUUUGUGAAAUACCCCAAUGUACAUUGCUAUACACUGUACAUAUUGUAAAAUGUACAUUUUACCCACAUUUUAGAUUAUUUAAUAUUUAUAAUUUAAAACAACGUGAUUUUAACUAUGAUGAAUCUAUUAUGAUUAUUUUAAUUCUUUUUGGUGCCAUUUUUACUUCUAGUCAAAACCAAACUCAUUUUAGAAAUUAUUCGACCAACCAAAGCAGGCUAAUUACUAAUCAAAGCACUAUUCUAACAUGGAACGUAUAAAACCUUAUUUGACCAACCAAAGCAGGCUAAUUAUUGAUCAAAGCACUAUUUUAACAUGGAACGUACAAAACCUUAUUCGACCCAAGGAUCAGGCAAAUUACUGAUCAAAGUACUAUUUUAGCAUGGAUCGUAUAACACCCUGAUUUUUUAUUAUUAAAAGAAUUUUUGAACCACAUUCAUGUAAACAUUAUAUUUUGUGCAAUGGAACCCCGACAGUGCUAUUCUAUUUAAUCUUUUAAAUGCUUCCAGCUAUUCUAAGUCAAGCUAAAACAAAUAAAUUAUAACAAAUAUUUGAUAAAAAUACCGCAGCUUUUUAAAUUGUGAUCUCUAGUAGGCAUUAUUCUAUUUUUUGUUGUUAAAUAAUGUAUCUAAUUAAAUUAUGUUCAUUAUGAAUAAAGUAUAAAAGUCAUUU